UGGGGAAUAUUGGACAAUGGGCGAAAGCCUGAUCCAGCCAUGCCGCGUGUGUGAAGAAGGUCUUCGGAUUGUAAAGCACUUUAAGUUGGGAGGAAGGGCAGUUACCUAAUACGUGAUUGUUUUGACGUUACCGACAGAAUAAGCACCGGCUAACUCUGUGCCAGCAGCCGCGGUAAUACAGAGGGUGCAAGCGUUAAUCGGAAUUACUGGGCGUAAAGCGCGCGUAGGUGGUUAGUUAAGUUGGAUGUGAAAUCCCCGGGCUCAACCUGGGAGCUGCAUUCAAAACUGACUGACUAGAGUAUGGUAGAGGGUGGUGGAAUUUCCUGUGUAGCGGUGAAAUGCGUAGAUAUAGGAAGGAACACCAGUGGCGAAGGCGACCACCUGGACUGAUACUGACACUGAGGUGCGAAAGCGUGGGGAGCAAACAGGAUUAGAUACCCAAGUAGUCCCUGAGCGGGCUGGCAAGGCGCAU
RNAcentral lists this ribosomal RNA (472 nucleotides) under uncultured bacterium. Its description in RNAcentral is "bacterial SSU rRNA". It matches the Rfam family "Bacterial small subunit ribosomal RNA", at positions 355 to 825 of the family's 1533-position model. The record is from RNAcentral.